GCAGACACAGCAAAGCGCUCAGGCCCAGCGUCCCCCAGUGAGCCCCUCCCUGCUCCCUGUCUGUGACUGGGAGACCCAGGCAGGCCUCCUGUCGGCGACAGGAGCAGAGUCAGCCCCUCCUGCCGGUCUCCCUGCACAAUGUUUGAGCCCUCUGCCAGGGUUCAAACCCUUGGACCCAGGAGCCUCCAGUGGCGACACUGACAGACCAUGGGUGGGGCUCACUGCCUCUGCACACGCUGGCCCCGGGUUUGCCUUUCAGUCGGGGCCCAGCUGGCGAGCCCUGGCAGCUCCUGGAC
This is a long non-coding RNA of Orcinus orca (killer whale), 296 nucleotides long. RefSeq lists it as uncharacterized. The transcript has 3 exons. The record is from RefSeq and is a predicted model, not a curated record. NCBI's taxonomy places the organism in Eukaryota, Metazoa, Chordata, Mammalia, Artiodactyla, Delphinidae.